UGACCCUUUUUUCCCCCACAGGGAUUCCCUGGAACUGAUGGGGUGCCAGGAAGCCCUGGCCGCCCUGGGAACCCCGGGUCCCCCGGCCAGCCGGGCACCCAGGGCGUCCCCGGCCCCCGGGGGGAUCCUGUGAGUAUGGCCCCCUCCUCCCCAACCCCUCACUGCCCCCCCACACGCCCCCCUGCUCACUCCCACCUUUCACCCCCAGGGCCCGCGGGGACCGACGGGGCUUCCUGGCCUGAAAGGGGAAAAAGGCGAGCCGGGGGAGCCCAGGGUGAUUGUAGAUGGAGGCCAGGGGCUGCCCGGACGGAAAGGGGAGCCGGGCACGCCGGGCAGCCCUGGCCCCCCCGGCAGCCCUGGCCCACGGGGACCCUUUGGAGAUCCAGGCCCUCUGGGUCCUACGGGGCCCAUGGGGCCACCGGGACCUCCGGGAGACUUCGUAAAGGUACGGGGACAGGGGGACAGCCCGCAGCUUGAACCUGCUCCCCCA
This 490-nucleotide long non-coding RNA is filed under the name Anas platyrhynchos (mallard). RNAcentral's name for it is "lncRNA (ENSAPLG00020004123.1)". The record is from RNAcentral. Lineage: Eukaryota; Metazoa; Chordata; Aves; Anseriformes; Anatidae.